This 77-nucleotide transfer RNA is filed under the name Shewanella piezotolerans WP3. RNAcentral's name for it is "tRNA-Met". Lineage: Bacteria; Pseudomonadati; Pseudomonadota; Gammaproteobacteria; Alteromonadales; Shewanellaceae. The record is from RNAcentral.
CAUUGACCCACUGGAUGGCACUAAUAACUUCGUAAGAGGUAUUCCCCACUUUGCUGUAUCUAUCGCGAUGCAGUUUA